Musa acuminata AAA Group (dessert banana) is the source of this 1047-nucleotide long non-coding RNA. RefSeq lists it as uncharacterized. The record is from RefSeq and is a predicted model, not a curated record. The transcript is spliced from 2 exons. NCBI's taxonomy places the organism in Eukaryota, Viridiplantae, Streptophyta, Magnoliopsida, Zingiberales, Musaceae.
UUGCGCCAGGAUCAGUAUGGUCUGGUUCUCAUCCUGUGGACUUCUCAUCUUUGCCACCCAUCAUUAGUCCAACUUCUGAAUCCGUGUUGGAACCAAUUAUAACAUCUCAUUUAAGAACUGAUGUGAGUCUAGACCUUCCAUCGGAUAACAAUACUGAAGAAGGGACCAAAACAGAAGAGAAUAAUGAGAUAUCCCAGAUUAUAGACAUUUGUAAACCGCUGGAUGGUAACUGGUUAGAGAAACGGGAAUCUGAAGAAUCUCACAGAAAUAAUACAAAAAUUACCGACUUGGAAUCUGAGACGGUUUUCAGACAAGAUGCACAGCAUAGUGGUGGAAGGCAUGUCUUCAGGAGUAGCAAAAAGUAUGAGGGUGAGGGAAGCUUUAGCAUAUACAUCAAGGGUAGAAAUCGCCGUAAACAGACACUAAAGCUGCCUAUAAGUUUGCUCAAUAGGCCAUAUGGAUCACAGUCAUUUAAAGUUAUAUAUAGCAGAGUAGUAAGAGGAAGUGAUGUUAUAAGUGCAACAGAUAUAUCUUCCAGUGAAAAUGUUACUUCCGACUAGUCACGAGCAAAGAACACUACAAACUUCAAAAUGGGCAGGAAAGAAUUUUUUUUAUUGUUCAAGCCACAUCCAGGAGGACGUGACUGAAAAAUUAGCAAUGUUGAUAAUUUAGUUAUUGCUAUUUUUCAGGCAACUGAUAUUUUUUAUUAAGAAGCCAAGAUUGAACGUUCAGGAAGGUAAGCGACAAAUCUCCUCAUGGUCCAAGCCAGGUUCACAACAUAGAUUGUUGAGAAGGCUAUGAAGUUCCAAGUCUAGAGAGGAUGGAAAUAGCGUAGAACUUUUGACCAAAUCAUUAGAAUUAGGUUGAAACUAUUAACCCAUUUUUUCUUCUCCAUUGAAGAGACAUGUAUGAGCAUUUUUCUCCUCUCUUUUUUCCCCUUUUCCUUUUGAGGAUUCUGAAAUUUAUAGCCGACAACAUUGUAAGUCAUGGGAUUUUGUGAACCUCGACUUUUCUACCCAUCAAAAUAACUUUUGCAAUUUCUGCUAA